Molecule: ribosomal RNA, 406 nt
Filed under: uncultured bacterium
Lineage: Bacteria
Description: partial 16S ribosomal RNA
Rfam family: Bacterial small subunit ribosomal RNA
Source: RNAcentral
AUUGAACGCUUGCGGCAGGCCUAACACAUGCAAGUCGAACGAGUGGCGGACGGGUGAGUAAUGUCUGGGAAACUUCCUGCUGGAGGGGGAUAACUACUGGAAACUGUAGAUAAUACCGCCUACCAUCCUAUGUGCCCAGAUGGGAGUAGCUCGUUGUUGGGGUAACGGCUCACCAAGGCGACGAUCCCUAGCUGGUCUGAGAGGAUGACCAGCCACACUGGAACUGAGACACGGGCCAGACUCCGACGGGAGGCAGCAGUGGGGAAUAUUGCACAAUGGGCGAAAGCAUGAUGCAGCCAUGCCGCGUGUAUGAAGAAGGCCUUAGGGUCGUAAAGUACUUGCAGCGGGGAGGCGUUACCCGCAGAAGAAGCACCGGCUAACUCCGUGCCAGCAGCCGCGGUAAUUC